AGGUAUGGAGUUUUCUGUGCAACGUGGAACUAGGAUGGAUCAGGCAGAAAUUGGAGCUGGAUAAGUUUUCAGUGGUACAGGCAUUGCAAGGUAUAAGCAGAAAAGCCACAGGAAGCCUAACACAGCAUGAAUGUUACUCGAUGAACCCUGACAUGACAGUGGGAUGCUGGAGGACAAGGAUUUUAAGUCUUGAUUCUGUAAGUAAUGAGAAAAAGCAUGAAGAACAGUUCCAGGAGGGAAGGAGAAGGAAGACUGUACUGUGUAUUCUGCUCUGUUGUCCUUUCAUAUUGAUAGCCCAGCUUCCAAACUACUACUCCAGUUUUAUGGAACGUGGAUGUCCUGCCUACUAGGAAUAACUUCAGUUAUCUUCUGUUGAUGUCUGGAGAUGGGAACAGAUGCAAACAUAGAGAGAAACAGAUACUUCAGUGCCAGACUUCAUGUUAUGCUGUGAAGGUUUCUGAAAGGAUGCUCUAGAAAGGGGGAAGAUUUCAGGACAGCUUCAGCACCCCAUCAGGGGCUGUUCUGGGGCUGAUUGCUGCAAGCAGUGCUGUGCUGUCCCAUGAGUAUCCCUG
This 572-nucleotide long non-coding RNA is filed under the name Gallus gallus (chicken). RNAcentral describes it as "lncRNA (ENSGALG00010006719.1)". The record is from RNAcentral. Lineage: Eukaryota; Metazoa; Chordata; Aves; Galliformes; Phasianidae.